Long non-coding RNA from Manduca sexta (tobacco hornworm), 725 nucleotides. RefSeq lists it as uncharacterized. The record is from RefSeq and is a predicted model, not a curated record. The transcript is spliced from 4 exons. NCBI's taxonomy places the organism in Eukaryota, Metazoa, Arthropoda, Insecta, Lepidoptera, Sphingidae.
AGGACGAAGCCCCGCGCGCCUCGCCGCCACCGCCACCGCAUCAACUGGCACUGAAUGCGCGCGCCUAUCCUCGUAUAUAUAAAUCGUAAGGAAGAGAGAGGCAAGUAUAAAACUAUAAUGUCGAAGUACGAUGCAGUCUCACUCAUGGGGACCGGGGUAGCCCACUGACCUGAGUUCCACGAAAGUCGUCGUGCCGACUCACGGCAGGCGGCGUUUGAUUCGUUCGUCUCCAAUUGCAAUUCUUUUAUUAUUGUUCAUUCUUCGGUUCCCGAAACAUGCUGCUACUUGGAUUUUAUGAGUUUUGUGCUAUCCACUCAGGAGUAGCAUAAAGGGCAGGUAAAUUCAGAAGCGCACAGUUUAAUUCUCGCCAGACGAAUACACCACGGCAACGGUCGCGCUGUGCUGGGCCGCGCUCCACGCGUCGCAUCGCGCCGCGCCGCACAACGCCGGGAGACAUAAAAACGUUCAUUUGCAUUGGUGCUCCCUGCUAUUUAUCCAGUGUUACAGUACUGCAUAAUAGAAGAACACCGUGGGCUUUGAGGACUCACGCAAACCCGUUUAUAAAUCCUUGAUAAUAUACGUUAACACUCGCGGGAGUCGGAACUAUCUCUAAUUAGCUGGUUACGUUUCAAAUACCUUCACACAGCCAUAGUGCGGUUGUAACUUUCAUUAUAUAAAAGUUAAAUAUGGCAAAUAAAAUUAUUCAACACCAGUCAUGAAAUGAA